Molecule: long non-coding RNA, 1220 nt
Filed under: Numida meleagris (helmeted guineafowl)
Lineage: Eukaryota; Metazoa; Chordata; Aves; Galliformes; Numididae
Description: lncRNA (ENSNMEG00000010186.1)
Source: RNAcentral
UCUUUUCCUCUUUUCCUCCUUAGUCCUCCCUGAGAGGAAAGAUUCUCUUGUCUAUCCUCUGUAUCAGCAGAGAAUCAUUCUUAUAAGGAAAAACAACAUGUAAUCAAAAUACAAAGGAUUUUUGCCAGACAUUUGCCUGGGGAAGCUGCCUGUUUAUUGUCAUGGUUUUGUGAUUUUUUUUUGUUGUCGGUAUUCCACAUCAUAACAUCAUGUAAAGCACUGGCAGUUAAAGUGUUAAUGUUCCGGUUCUGUGGGCUGCCGUUUCUGGGUGCUCGGUUUUGGAGGGGAGGAGCUGCACUCCCCAGGGCCCUGUGCGCCUGGAGCGGCUGGUGAAGCCGCCUGGGGGACCGGGAGUUUCUUUGUUUCGUUCGCUGCGGAGAAGUACGUGGUUGCCCUGCAGCUUACAGAGUAAGACUUGGGUUUUGGACUCUCUCACUUUAUUCGACUUGUUGGCCUCAAUUCUGAUAUCAUAUUUAGUAAAUCAACGUUCCUCCUCAGAUUGUUGCUGCUGUUUUGUUUUAGACCCGUGUACUAUUCCCCUACCGUUUCUUCUUUUCCCUUUUUUUUUUACCUCAGAGCGUGGGUCCGCGUGUCUCCUGCCGCGUUAGUCACGGGACCGGGCGGGGCCGGCCCCUAAACCGCCGACAUUUUUUUUUCCGUUCUUUCUUUUCCGGGCCUGCGGGCCUACUCUCACCCUGUGGUGGACAUAGAUGCCGAGAUAACUCCGUGACGCUUAUUUGCUUGAAUACUUGAUUACUUGAGUACAGUCCUUCCAAGACAGGAGAAGGAUGUUCCAGCCAGCCCUGGCUUCCAGUGAUACCAGUUCAAGUCUCAGGACCUGUCUCAGGACAGGGUGGAUCAGGCAUAGCUAUUCCUUUGACGUUUUGUUCCAUAAGUGAAGGUGAAGGGAAGAAAUUCAGUCCCUUCCUUCUGUCUGACUCAUCAUGGUGGAGAAGUUUUGACAUCAGAGUCCAGCCCCCCGGAAACGAAGCGCUGUCGCAGAUGCAGUCUGCCUUUAAAAGUGAGUCAGAUCCAAAUGCAGAUGCUCAGAAGGCUUUCUGGUGCAUAUUCUUCAAUUUCAUAAGUAACAAAAAUUGUUACUUCAUAAAAGGUCCAGGUAUGACAUACCUUCAAGACUUGAGUGUGCAUAAAUUAAUCACAAAGGCACUUGCUUUUACUCUCUUUAUCUUUUAAUUAAAUGCCUAAAAAGCUUCCUCCUA